RNAcentral lists this non-coding RNA (80 nucleotides) under Geobacter pickeringii. Its description in RNAcentral is "c-di-GMP sequence". It matches the Rfam family "c-di-GMP-I-GGC riboswitch aptamer". Lineage: Bacteria; Pseudomonadati; Thermodesulfobacteriota; Desulfuromonadia; Geobacterales; Geobacteraceae. The record is from Rfam by way of RNAcentral.
UCCAGAAAAGCCAAACCCGUUGCGAAGCGGGGACGGAAAGCCACGGAUCUUCCGCCAGGAAGACAGCCGGGUUGCCGAAG